RNAcentral lists this long non-coding RNA (7294 nucleotides) under Gossypium barbadense (sea-island cotton). RNAcentral's name for it is "long non-coding RNA (GBAR_LNC019301)". Lineage: Eukaryota; Viridiplantae; Streptophyta; Magnoliopsida; Malvales; Malvaceae. The record is from RNAcentral.
UGAUCGAAUUGAUCAGACUCUCAUGGAUGUAUACAAAGAGUCUGCAGGCUUGAAUAAGCCACUUCAGUUGUUGAUAAUUAUCUUACCUGAUCAGACUGGCUCUUAUGGUAAGAAAUUCUGAUGUUUUGUAAAUAGGUAAUUCCUGGGUUGUCUUUGCGCGACUCAAAUCUUUUUGUUUGCAGGAAAAAUAAAGCGAAUUUGUGAGACGGAGCUAGGUAUUGUUUCACAAUGUUGUAAGCCUGUGCAAGCUUCAAAGUUCAGCAACCAAUAUUUUGAAAAUGUUGCUCUCAAGAUCAAUGCUAAGGUAUCUGUUUUGCCUCACUGGUGGUGAUUUGAUAUAGUGGUUUCUUGUCUUGCUAUCUUCUUUUAAAUCAUUUGAGAAUUGUAAAUUCUGUAGGUUGGGGGGAGAAAUACUGUGCUGAACGAUGCUGUUUUAAGGAGAAUUCCGCUUGUGACUGAUGUCCCUACAAUCAUUUUUGGGGCAGAUGUCACUCAUCCGCCGCCUGGCGAAGACUCUAGUUCUUCUAUAGCUGCAGUAAGCAUAUUCAUUAUUCUCUAUCAUCCCCAUUUUGUUACUUGAUCAUAUUUAAGAGGUUAUUGGCUGGCUGCAGGUCGUUGCUUCAAUGGAUUGGCCUGAGGUAACCAAGUAUCGUGGAAUUGUCUCUGCACAGACUCACCGGGUGGAAAUAAUCGAGGAUCUUUAUAAACAAACUAGGGAUCCACAGAAGGGUUUAGUUGAGGGUGGAAUGGUUAGGUAGGGAGAGAUUUAUUCCAGGCUUAAAUUUUUAGUUUCUUCUGGAAGUGCUCUACUUUCUUAACAUUUCAAGUUCUCUGCAGGGAAUUGCUUCUUGCUUUCUACAGGUCAACGAAACAAAAGCCUUCUAGAAUUAUCUUCUAUAGGUAAUGUUUGCUUUUGACCAUCCGAAUCUAUGUAUAUAUUUCUAGCAGCAGUGCUGAUAUCUGAUUUUUGAUGUGUGGCAGAGAUGGUGUUAGUGAAGGACAAUUCAGCCAAGUUUUGCUUUAUGAAAUGGAUGCGAUUCGGAAGGUAUUGAAAUUACUGUAUAAUGUCUAUUAUAGUUGGUUCACUGUAUAAUGGAUGCAAUGUUUUUUGGUGUUUGGGCCUUCUGACCCCUGCAGUUUUCUUACUUCCAGGCUUGUUCCUCGCUACAGGAAGGAUAUAUGCCUCGGGUUACAUUUGUUGUGGUUCAAAAGAGGCAUCAUACUCGCUUAUUCCCUACUGAUCGCAACAAAACUGAUAGGAGUGGCAACAUAUUACCAGGUGAUUCUAAUCUUAUAAUAGGGAUUUGAUCGUAUUCUCUUGAUCUUCAUUUUGUUAGCAUAUUUUAAUGUAGCCAAUAACUUUUAGGUACUGUUGUGGAUACUAGCAUCUGUCAUCCAACUGAGUUUGAUUUUUAUCUCAAUAGUCAUGCUGGAAUCCAGGUAAAAUGAGGCCUUCCCUUGAAGUGUGAUGGUUUUUAUGUUAAUUUUGUCCGAUCUGAUAUUGAUAUUGAUGUUUUUGUGUAGGGGACAAGCAAGCCCACACAUUACCACGUUUUGUUGGAUGAAAAUGGCUUCACUGCUGACAUCUUGCAAGUGCUCACAAACAAUUUAUGUUACACGUAUGUGUUUGCUCCUUUCUCUAUAAUGUUGAAAUGGGGUGAAUAAAUAAUGCUUUAGAUCAGCACUAGCAAUUAUAUAGUAAUAAUUUUACUUUGUGGAUAGGUAUGCGAGGUGUACCAAGUCCGUUUCCAUAGGUUUGUGAUGAUGUUUUUUUGUCUUGUUAAAUUUGUUGACUAAGGUUGGUUUUGACAGUGAAUAUUUGGAUUAUAUGUUUGCAGUUCCUCCGGCAUACUAUGCUCACCUCGCUGCUUAUAGGGCACGUUGUUAUAUUGAGGAUGAGAUGUCGGAUAGUGGGUCUACUGGUGGAGGCCGAAAGCCGAAAGACAAGGUUGUAGAGGUUAGGCCGCUGCCCAGCAUAAAGGAUAAUGUGAAGGAAGUGAUGUUCUACGUCUGAUUAAUUAUGUUUGGUUGAUUGUGGGAAGUUGCGCAAGUAUAGUUGCACAGUUUGUGGAUGAUGGUGGAGUCUUAUUGAUUCCAUUGGUGGACUUAGUAAUCAUCUAAUUUUGGAGUUUUUGUUUUGGUGGUUGAGCUACUUGUUGUGUGAAGUUUGAAUUAUUAUAAAUCACACACUGUUUGUGGAUUACGAAAAUUUCAUAAAUGUCCUUUAUUUUUAAGACACAUUCUUAGAAAGGAGUUUUGGUAUCAUUCUUAAGCUUCUUUUAUAUCACCAAUUAAUACAAGAGAUGAUGAAAUUUUAGAGAAUAAUGUCUUUUUAUAAAGAGUUUUUAAAUGUUCAGAACACAAAUUGUAAGAUAUGCUCGGAUAUCCUCACUGCAUCUCCUUGCAACUCCAAUGAAUAAAAAAGCAAUCCUAAUCAAUUUUCUUUUUAAUUUACCAUUUUAAUAAACAUAGUAAAUACAAUUUUAUUAACUUAUUAAUUAAUUUUAUAAAUUUACAUAUUUUUAAUUCAUAAAAGUGUGAUAAUUUUAAAAACUUUUAUUAUAUAUAAUUUUUAAUCUAAUGUUUUCAAUAGUUAUAUUUUAUUAUUAUCUCACCGUUACAAUUACGUUUGAAAUUAAAUAUACAUCUCACCACUGUUUCUAUUCUCAUUGCUAUUGCUGUUUUUAACUUUACCGAAGAUAAAUGUAUCGUCCAUCCCAAUUAAACCUUAGUCCAUUUAUAGUGUUUUUUUUACUUCGUUAAAGCUGGACAAACUAUGCCAUUAAAAUUUUAAUAGCUUAAGUUUAGAUUGAAUGAGCGAUGCGUUUACUUUCGGUGAGAUUAAAAACAACAAUGGUAGUUAGAUUAGUUACUGUAGCGAUGAAAUUAGAUACUGUAGUAGUGAUAUUAGAAAUAGCGGUACGGUGUGUGUUUAGAUUCAAACGCAACUAUAAUAAUGAGUUGAGAAUAAAAAAUGACUAUUAAAGACAUUAGAUUUAUGAGUUCUCUCUCAUUUCAUCUUUUUUUCCCCUCAAAUUCUGUUAUGAAUAAAAAAUCUUCUUUAAAUAUCAAAGGAAAAGCUCUCAUUUAAUCCUCUCAUCUGAUUGUAUGAAAACGGUUUUGUUCAUUCAUCAGCUAUUCUGCUCUAUCAUUGCUUUUAUCUGUUUCAUUUUUUUCCAAUCUAAAACUAAAAAACAAACACCAUCUUUUCCAUUCAUGAUGACACAGAAGGUGAAGAAAAUUAUAAAUUUUGAUUCAUCAAUGGGUAUGGGUGGUUAACCAAAAUAGAGAAGAUAAAAAAGAAAAAGUAAUGUUGAAAAUAAAAGUCAUUUUCCUUUUUUUAAAAAUAUGGAUGAUUGAUAAUUUUAAAAAUAAUUUUCAAAAAAAUAAUUUUCAUUAUUUUCACCAAAAUGUUUUGUAGAAUUAAAAAAGACGAGAACAAGAGUUUUUUAAUUUUAAAUGAACGAGUUCACAAUGGGUUCAAAUCCAUAUAAACACAAAAAAAUAUUUAUUUUUCAAUAGUUUUUUUUUCUAAUAUUGAAUUCGGUACCCUGAUUUGAAUCCAUAUAAAUACGAAAUUUAUUUUAUUUUAUUAAAACAUGUUUUUAUUUCUAUUUAUCAAAUUUAAAAAAAUAGAAAAUGAAAAUCAUGUUUCUAUUUACCAAAUAUUUCACAAAUUAAACUGACUUUAAUUGUUUAGAAAAAAGAAAAAAAAUUCUAUUAUUUUCUAGUGAAGUAGAAAUUAGGAAAGGGAAGGGAUGCUUGCUAUGGAAAUUGUGGAUGGAAAAAAGGAAGUUGUCAAUAAAGAAAAAAAAAAAAAUUUUGGUAUUUUUUUAUGUCUGUUUUAUUGUUUAUGUUUGGGGUUCGUGGUAGUUCUUCUCAACAAGGUCAUCUUCAAUGUUUAAAUCUAUGUCUCAAAUUAAGAAUACAAUGUGCCUUACCAUUACACCCAACACUUGUUGGUAAAAAAAAAAGUGUAAAAUUUAUAUGAUAUUUUAAAAACAUAUAGAUAAUUUAAUGGUAAAAUUAUAAUUUUAUUUUUUUGAAGGAUAAUGCUAAUAUUGUAAUUAUAUUUAUUAUUGUAAUUUUACAUAAAAAUUAAACUAAUUAACUUGUAACAUCAACUAAGUUAAAUAUUUCUUUAAGUAUUAAAUUGUGUUACAAACAUGAUGUCAAUGUAAAAAAUAUAUUAAUAAAUAGGUGAAAUGAGGUUUUGGUUGAAAUGAUUAAUUUGAACCUGAUUUCUUAAGUUUAACUAACUCAACGACAUUAUUUUUUGAAAGAACUCGAUCAAGAUUGCUUUUUCCGUAGUUACUUUUCCUUAAAAAAACCCAAGGGAAAGUUUAACUGUUAAUGAUUUGGUUGACUGAGUUGGGCUUUUUGUUAUUUAUUGUCUCGUUAAAUUUUAUUUUCAUUGGAUUUUAAUGUGUAUUUUCCUUUUCUGUUUUCUUAUUUAUUUACUUGUCUCUUUGUCCAUCUCUGUUACUUUCAUCUUUUUCUCGUCUCUUUUGAUGGCCUUUGGUGCUUCAUUGCUUAUAGGUUACUAUAACGCCUGAGGUAACCGCAAAAAAGGUUAACAGAGCAAUAAUGAAGCAACUUAUUGAUGUAUACAAAGAGUCGCAUCUUGGACGUCGGUGUCCAGCUUAUGAUGGCAGGAAGAGUUUGUACACUGCUGGUCCUCUUCCCUUCGAGUCAGGAGCUUGUUAUCAAGCUACCUGAGGAAGAUCGCAGUGCUGGUUCGUCUAGGCCUGCGCUGUAAUAUUAUUGUAUCCUAUGAUGGUCUCUUGACAUUUUACAUUAUAUCCGAUGUCAUAAUUGCUUACCUGUGAUCUUUCUGGUUGCCUGUCACUGCAGGAAGGAGCGACAAUUUAAGGUUGCAAUCAAACUGGCCUCCAAGCCAGACCUUCAUUAUCUCAGGGAGUUUUUGAGCAGAAAGCAUUUUGAAUGUCCUCAAGAAGCUAUUCAAGUUCUGGAUGUUGUUCUUAGAGCUAAACCAUCUCAGAUGUAACUGCCUGUUGAUUAAUGUUAAACAUUGCUGGCUAUUAAAUUGUUGAAACCAUUUUAUAUGACAUCAAAUUAAUACAUUUGAAACAUCAUUUGGCAGAUAUACUGAGGUGGGAAGGUCUUUUUUCCAUACAUCAUUAGGUCCUAGAGGAGAACUUGGUAAUGGAAUAGAAUACUGGUCUGGAUAUUAUCAGAGUCUUCGACCCACUCAGAUGGGUUUAUCUCUUAAUAUUGGUAGGUACUUUGAUUGCUCAGUUUGUGUAGCCACUUUGUUCCUAAUGUUUCAGUAUGAAGAUUUACUGGUUUUGCUUUGCAGAUGUGUCUGCUCGAUCAUUCUAUGAGCCAAUUUUAGUUUCAGAGUUUGUUGUGAAACAUUUCCGACGAUCAAACCUGUCAAAGCCGCUGUCUGAUCAAGAUCGUAUUAAAGUAUGUAUAUAUUGAAUUCAGUGUUUAUUAAUCAAAACUUGCAGAAUAUUUUUGGAAUGCUUCUUUUGCCGUUUUUGUUAGCUGAAAAAGGCCUUGAAGGGAGUAAGAGUUAGGCUCAUCUACAUGGAUUAUGCCAAAACUUGCAAGAUUAUUGGAGUAUCUAGAGACCCUAUAAGCCAGUUGACGUGAGUUUCUUGUUAUAAUACUAUACCUGCUCAUAAAUAUUUUUAGUAAGCUACUUUUAUGUGGCCUGUGUGGUAGAAUUGUUUUUGGGUUAUUUGUAGUCUUGUAUUCACUCCUUAUCUAAGUUACAUCUUAAAAUUGAGUUGGUUUUAUUUUUAUUUUUUGCAGUUGACAGUUUUUAGUAUUUGGCUUGGUUAUGUCUUGUUCUAAAAUAUUGUUUAUGCUUAUACAUUUGUAAAAUCUUGUGCUUAUGGUACAUUUGUACCAUUCUGUCUCAUUAUGUUUCUGUUCAAUUUUUGGCUGUUUUAGAUUUCCUCUUGAUGAUAAGAGAACAAAUGUCUCUGUGGUCAAGUAUUUCCGUGAGAAAUACAAUGUUGUGCUUAAAUAUCCAUCCUUGCCUGCACUUCAAAGUGGAACUGAAGCUAGACCUGUCUACCUGCCAAUGGAGGUUUUUACUUUAUAUCAAGAUGAUCUUGUUUUUGUUUUCUUUUUGUUUGUUACUGAUUCUCCUGUAUGAUUUUGUUUUACAGCUUUAUAGUAUCGUUGAGGGUCAAAGAUACACAAAAAAAACUAAAUGAACAACAAGUUAGAUCUCUGCUGAGAGCAACUUGUCAACGUCCGAACAUUAGGGAGGGGAAUAUUACAAAGGUACUGCAGUUUUGGAUGCUUAUUAUUUUUUAAAUUGGUUGAUAAGAUGAGAAUUUUGAUUCAUUGGCAUUUCAUAUUUCUGCAGAUGGUCCAGGUCAAUAAUUUUGAGUUGGAGGAGCUUGUUACUAAAGAAUUUGGAAUGCAUGUUCGCAAAGAACUUGCAUUGAUUAAUGCACGAGUUCUAAAUCCUCCAGUGGUACUUUUCAGCCAAUAUGUUAUAUUUUCAAGGAUACUGUCAGUCUUAUAAUACGAUUAAUGUCUGUUUUGGUUGCUGCAGCUAAAGUAUCACGAUAGUGGACGUGACAAAAUCGUUAAUCCUAGUUGCGGGCAAUGGAACAUGAUCAACAAGGUGGUAUUUUUUUUUCUUCCCCUCUUAUUCUUUGAAGUGGCAUUGUUUGUAAAAUUUAAGGAAUCAGACCUGUCUCUUCAGUCUCCUCUUGUUCCAGAGUUCUUGUUCAUUUUUUCAAUUCAUUUUUAAGGUAGCUAUAAGUCUUUUGGGAAAAUUUUGAUAGGUUUUAAGGUUCAACAGUUUUUUUUUUUGCAGAAAAUGGUCAAUGGGGGUAAAGUCGAUUUCUGGUCUUGUGUGAACUUCUCCUCGGAAUAUUGGAAUAUGUCAGAAGAGUUCUGUGCGGAGCUGGUGAAUAUGUGUAACAACAAAGCAAUGGUAUGCUGUGUGGUUUUUUUUAGUGUAGGUGGAUGGUAUAUCUGUUAUUUAUUUAUCACUAGCAUGAUUUCCCAUUUUGAGAUUCUAGGUGUUUUGCCAAACUCCUUCAAUUGCAAUGCGAUCAGCUCGUGCUGACCGAAUUGAUCAGAUUCUCAUGGAUGUAUACAAAGAGUCUGCAGGCUUGAAAAAGCCACUUCAGUUGUUGAUAAUUAUCUUACCUGAUCAGACUGGCUCUUAGGGUAAGAAAUUCUGAUGUUUUGUAAAUAGGUAAUUCCUGGGGUUUCUUUGCGCGACUCAAAUCUUUUUGCUUGCAGGAAAAAUAAAGCGAAUUUGUGAGACGGAGCUAGGUAUUGUUUCACAAUGUUGUAA